RNAcentral lists this transfer RNA (71 nucleotides) under Marmota monax (woodchuck). RNAcentral describes it as "tRNA.Ala". Lineage: Eukaryota; Metazoa; Chordata; Mammalia; Rodentia; Sciuridae. The record is from RNAcentral.
GGGGUUGUGGCUCAGUGGUAAAGUGCUUGCCUAGCAUGAAUGAGGUACUGGGUUCGAUUCUCAGCACCACA